This 253-nucleotide ribosomal RNA is filed under the name uncultured bacterium. Its description in RNAcentral is "partial 16S ribosomal RNA". It matches the Rfam family "Bacterial small subunit ribosomal RNA", at positions 524 to 776 of the family's 1533-position model. The record is from RNAcentral.
CACGUAGGGCGCAAGCGUUGUCCGGAAUUAUUGGGCGUAAAGAGCUCGUAGGCGGUUUGUCGCGUCUGCUGUGAAAACCCGAGGCUCAACCUCGGGCCUGCAGUGGGUACGGGCAGACUAGAGUGCGGUAGGGGAGAUUGGAAUUCCUGGUGUAGCGGUGGAAUGCGCAGAUAUCAGGAGGAACACCGGUGGCGAAGGCGGGUCUCUGGGCCGUAACUGACGCUGAGGAGCGAAAGCAUGGGGAGCGAACAGG